RNAcentral lists this transfer RNA (88 nucleotides) under Bacteroidota bacterium. RNAcentral's name for it is "Bacteroidetes bacterium (microbial mat metagenome) tRNA-Ser". It matches the Rfam family "tRNA". Rfam says of the family: Transfer RNA (tRNA) molecules are approximately 80 nucleotides in length. Their secondary structure includes four short double-helical elements and three loops (D, anti-codon, and T loops). Lineage: Bacteria; Pseudomonadati; Bacteroidota. The record is from RNAcentral.
AGGUGGGUGAGUGGCUUAAACCAGCGGUUUGCUAAACCGCCGUACGUGUAAAAAUGUACCCCCGGUUCGAAUCCGGGCCUCUCCGCAA